Molecule: ribosomal RNA, 448 nt
Filed under: uncultured bacterium
Lineage: Bacteria
Description: bacterial SSU rRNA
Rfam family: Bacterial small subunit ribosomal RNA
Source: RNAcentral
GGCCAGACUCCUACGGGAGGCAGCAGUGGGGAAUAUUGGGCAAUGGGCGCAAGCCUGACCCAGCAACGCCGCGUGAAGGAAGAAGGCUUUCGGGUUGUAAACUUCUUUUCUCAGGGACGAAGCAAGUGACGGUACCUGAGGAAUAAGCCACGGCUAACUACGUGCCAGCAGCCGCGGUAACACGUAGGGGGCGAGCGUUAUCCGGAAUCAUUGGGCGUAAAGGGUGCGUAGGCGGCCUUUUAAGCGCGGGGUCUAAGGCGGUGGCCCAACCACCGUUCGCCCCGCGAACUGGAGGGCUAGAGUGUCGGAGAGGGAAGCGGAAUUCCUAGUGUAGCGGUGAAAUGCGUAGAUAUUAGGAGGAACACCAGUGGCGAAGGCGGCUUCCUGGACGAAGACUGACGCUGAGGCACGAAAGCGUGGGGAGCGAACAGGAUUAGAUACCCCGGUA